Molecule: long non-coding RNA, 681 nt
Organism: Brassica rapa (field mustard)
Lineage: Eukaryota; Viridiplantae; Streptophyta; Magnoliopsida; Brassicales; Brassicaceae
Source: RefSeq, a predicted model, not a curated record
UUGUUUUAUCCAUUCAUCCAUGAGCAUUUUCAUCAUAUAGAUUAGGAUUUAGCCAUGUCUAGGUUGCAUUUUGCAUUCAUUGUCCUUAUUAGGUGUUGGAGUGCCACAUGGAGUUCUUGGGGACAUUUGGAUGCAUUUGGAGCUUAAAGGACGUGAAAUAGGUGAUCAUUGGACGAGCAGAGCAUGGGAGCGAGGUUCCGCAGCAACGUCAUGAGGUCGCUCCAAAGCACCUCUCAGAGCGACCUAGCUAGAGCGACCCCGUGAAGUCGCUCGCCAUACUCAUCCCGUUGGAAGCCCAGAGCGACUUGCCCAGAGCGACGCACCGAGGUCGCUCGCAUCUCACACCCCUCUCGGAGCGACCUCCCAAAGCGACACCCCGAGGUCGCUCGCGUCUCUAUGGCGAGACGACACGAAGCGAAGCCCGGAGCGACCUCUCAGAGCGACCCACUGAGGUCGCUCCCGAAGGCCGGAGCGACUUGUCGGAGCGACAUGCCGAGAUCGCUCCGCGUCUAUUGUUGGGUCGAUUUCUAUUUUACUUAAGGGCCUUUUGGUCAUUUUAUUAUGCACGUUUUACAUUUCAAAAACCUAUGUUUUAAACAUCUUUUGUAGCCACCAGGGCAGAUUAUCUUUUGAUCUAUUGAGAAAUACACAAAAACUCUCUGGAGAAGUUCAUCUCUUGGA